GGGCCGCUAGCUCAAUUGGCAGAGCAACUGACUCUUAAUCAGUUGGUUAUAGGUUCGAGUCCUAUGCGGCUCA
RNAcentral lists this transfer RNA (73 nucleotides) under Chloroflexia bacterium. Its description in RNAcentral is "tRNA-Lys". It matches the Rfam family "tRNA". From Rfam's summary of the family: Transfer RNA (tRNA) molecules are approximately 80 nucleotides in length. Their secondary structure includes four short double-helical elements and three loops (D, anti-codon, and T loops). Further hydrogen bonds mediate the characteristic L-shaped molecular structure. tRNAs have two regions of fundamental functional importance: the anti-codon, which is responsible for specific mRNA codon recognition, and the 3' end, to which the tRNAs corresponding amino acid is attached (by aminoacyl-tRNA synthetases). tRNAs cope with the degeneracy of the genetic code in two manners: having more than one tRNA (with a specific anti-codon) for a particular amino acid; and 'wobble' base-pairing, i.e. permitting non-standard base-pairing at the 3rd anti-codon position. RNAcentral also lists the same sequence under 1 other name. Lineage: Bacteria; Bacillati; Chloroflexota; Chloroflexia. The record is from RNAcentral.